This is a transfer RNA of 84 nucleotides. It matches the Rfam family "tRNA". From Rfam's summary of the family: Transfer RNA (tRNA) molecules are approximately 80 nucleotides in length. The record is from Rfam.
GCAGCUUUGGCCGAGUUGGUUAUGGCGCCACGUUCAGGUCGUGGUCUCAGCAAUGGGGCAAGGGUUCGAAUCCCUUAGGCUGCA